RNAcentral lists this ribosomal RNA (253 nucleotides) under uncultured bacterium. RNAcentral describes it as "partial 16S ribosomal RNA". It matches the Rfam family "Bacterial small subunit ribosomal RNA", at positions 524 to 776 of the family's 1533-position model. The record is from RNAcentral.
UACAGAGGGUGCAAGCGUUAAUCGGAAUUACUGGGCGUAAAGCGUGCGUAGACGGUUAUUUAAGUCAGGUGUGAAAGCCCCGGGCUCAACCUGGGAAUUGCAUUUGAGACUGAAUAGCUAGGGUGCGGAAGAGGGAAGCGGAAUUUCCGGUGUAGCGGUGAAACGCGUAGAUAUCGGAAGGAACACCAGUGGCGAAAGCGGCUUCCUGGUCCAGCACCGACGUUCAGGCACGAAAGCGUGGGGAGCAAACAGG